RNAcentral lists this ribosomal RNA (395 nucleotides) under uncultured bacterium. Its description in RNAcentral is "partial 16S ribosomal RNA". It matches the Rfam family "Bacterial small subunit ribosomal RNA", at positions 523 to 918 of the family's 1533-position model. The record is from RNAcentral.
AUACGUAGGGUGCAAGCGUUAAUCGGAAUUACUGGGCGUAAAGCGUGCGCAGGCGGGUUUGUAAGUCAGUGGUGAAAUCUCCCGGCUCAAACUGGGAACUGCCUUUGUGACUGCAAGGCUAGAGGUCGGGAGAGGGGGAUGGAAUUCCUGGUGUAGCAGUGAAAUGCGUAGAUAUGAGGAGGCACACCGAUGGCGAAGGCAAUCCCCUGGGCCUUUACUGACGCUCAUGCACGAAAGCGGGGGGAGCAAACAGGAUUAGAUACCCUGGUAGUCCACGCCCUAAGCGAUGCCAACUGGUUGUUGGGUCUUCAUUGACUCAGUAACUAAGCUAACGCGUUAAGUUGACCGCCUGGGGAGUACGGCCGCAAGGUUGAAACUUAAAGGAAUUGACGGGG